CCCUUAGAUGUUCUGGGCCGCACGCGUGCUACACUGAGUGGAUCAGCGGGUCAGGUUGCGCGAAAGUGUUUCCUAAUCUUUAAAUCCGCUCGUGAUGGGGAUUGACGGUUGCAAUUUUCCGUCAUGAACGAGGAAUACCUUGUAAGCGCGGGUCAUCAUCCCGCGCUGAAUACGUCCCUGCCCUUUGUACACACCGCCCGUCGCUCCUACCGAUUGAGUGGUCCGGUGAGGCUUUGGGAUCUGAGCGGAAAGAGCGUUUCGCUGUUUCUGCCCGGAAAACUCAGUCGAACCUUAUCAUUUAGAGGAAGGAGAAUUCGUAACA
RNAcentral lists this ribosomal RNA (322 nucleotides) under uncultured eukaryote. RNAcentral describes it as "partial 18S ribosomal RNA". It matches the Rfam family "Eukaryotic small subunit ribosomal RNA", at positions 1470 to 1796 of the family's 1831-position model. The record is from RNAcentral.